This is a regulatory RNA element of 92 nucleotides. It matches the Rfam family "c-di-GMP-I riboswitch aptamer". Rfam says of the family: GEMM was predicted in a large-scale screen for bacterial structured RNA regulatory elements. The record is from Rfam.
GCGGGAAAAGGGCAAACCGGCUGAAAGGCCGGGACGCAAAGCCAGGAGGCUAAAGCGGAGGGAAACGCCGCCAUGCCCGUCCGGUUGCCGCA